CUGCUGUGAUGGGAAGAUUUUUCGUCAACAGCAUUUCACACAGUGAAUGUUGAUACGUCUGGGCUGAGCAG
Molecule: small nucleolar RNA, 71 nt
Organism: Coturnix japonica (Japanese quail)
Lineage: Eukaryota; Metazoa; Chordata; Aves; Galliformes; Phasianidae
Source: Ensembl